Molecule: long non-coding RNA, 481 nt
Filed under: Zea mays
Lineage: Eukaryota; Viridiplantae; Streptophyta; Magnoliopsida; Poales; Poaceae
Description: long non-coding RNA (ZMAY_LNC004986)
Source: RNAcentral
AGCUACAUCACUAAAGUCAAGCUAGUCCAUCGGUACAGACAUCUCCCAGGGAAGGACCUAAGUCCCUUUUGUACAUGGCUUACUUUGAAGAAGAUUAGAGGUAUCCAUUGUUUCGAUGAUUAACCAAACGGCUUCAGGUAGCUGUAGCUUGCUGUGCGUUGAGUUCUUCAGCGGGUAAUGAGAUAAAUAAACUUGUUCAACAGGGGAAAAAAGAACUUGCAUGCAGGCAGCCGUGAACCAGUAUUACUACCAGGCUACCAGCUUGCAGUUGAUGGUUAGGUAACGCCCGUCUGGAGACGUGACCGUACUGCCGCUUGCGCUUGAUGGUUAGGUUACGCCCGUCUGAGCUCUCAGAGUCCAGCUGUUUUGACCAAACAACAUUUCUUCCCAGUACCCUGAUACCAUUCAUGGGACUAAGAAGAAACCCUGCAGUUCCCUCCACAUUUUCUCAUCCGGGCUUGGGACCGGCAAAGGCAGUGUU